This 353-nucleotide long non-coding RNA is filed under the name Mytilus galloprovincialis (Mediterranean mussel). The record is from RNAcentral. Lineage: Eukaryota; Metazoa; Mollusca; Bivalvia; Mytilida; Mytilidae.
GUUGCUUAACGUCCAGUGGCAAAUAUUUCAUGCAUAUUCAGGACGAGAACGAGUUAACAAUAAAUACAAUAGGUAGGUUGGUUUAAUAGAGGUCAUCUAGGAUGAUGGUCGGGGAAGUUUGGACUGCCACUGGAAAAUGAGGGUAUAUUGGAUAGGGACAGAAAUUUUGCCCUGCAACAGGUCACCUACGGACCCCUCGAAGAGUUGUUGCAAGGGUUCUUAACGUGCAAAGAGCGUGGCACUCUCUUUACACGAGGCAUCGGAUUUAACGUCCCCCUUCUGACCGGACGUGACAGCGAACUUGAUACAUCCCGCACUGCCAAACGGACAACCAACUUCGGCAAGCGUUUUAC